Molecule: long non-coding RNA, 336 nt
Organism: Marmota monax (woodchuck)
Lineage: Eukaryota; Metazoa; Chordata; Mammalia; Rodentia; Sciuridae
Exons: 3
Source: RefSeq, a predicted model, not a curated record
CUCUGGAGGAUGUCAAGGACUGUGUUGGGUAGAAGUGGUGAAAGUCAGUAUUCUUAUCUUGUUCCUGUUGGCCUUGGGUUUGUCAUAUAUAGCUUUUACAAUGUUGAGACUAAGGAUUGCUCACAGAGGCCAUAUCUUUCAAGAAAGUGAAGACUCACACUCCUUAUAACAACUAAAGGAAAAAGGCACGUGACUGAAUCCAGUUAGUAAAGAUCCCACCAACAUCUGACUUGGGCCCCAUCAACAUUACUGUGGAUAGACUAAAUGCUACUGAGUGUUUACUUUUAAAUGAUUAGUUUUGUGUUAUGUGAAUUUCAGCUCAAUAAAAAAUGAGUU